GAGCGAACAGAAUUAGAUACUCUGGUAGUCCUAGCCGUAAACGAUGAGCACUAGGUGUUGGGAUUUAUCUCAGUGCCGCAGCUAACGCAUUAAGUGCUCCACCUGGGGACUACGGCCGCAAGGUUAAAACUCAAAGGAAUUGACGGGGACCCGCACAAGCGGUGGAACAUGUGGUUUAAUUCGAUGCUACGCGAAGAACCUCACCAGGGCUUGACAUACAAGAAGUAGUGAACCGAAAGGGGAACCACUCGUUAAGUCGAGAACUUGAACAGGUGCUGCAUGGCUGUCGUCAGCUCGUGUCGUGAGAUGUUGGGUUAAGUCCCGCAACGAGCGCAACCAUUGCCCGAUGUUGCUACCCCUAUUUUCAGUUUACUGAAAUUAGGGCGCACUCUUCGGGGACUGCCUGGGAUAACUAGGAGGAAGGUGGAGAUGACGUCAAGUCAGUACGGCCCUUAUGCCCUGGGCUAUACACGUGUUACAAUGGCAGGUACAGAGGGUCGCCAACCCGCGAGGGGGAGCUAAUCUCAAAAAACCUGUCUCAGUUCGGAUAGGAGUCUGCAAUUCGACUCCUUGAAGCCGGAAUCGCUAGUAAUGGGAGAUCAGCUCGCUCCCGUGAAUACGUUCCCGGGUCUUGUACACACCGCCCGUCAAGCGAUGAAAGUUGGAGGUACCCGAAGUCCUAUGUAGAUAGGCCGAAGGUAAAGCCGAUGAUUGGCGCUAAGNCGUAACAAGGUA
This 735-nucleotide ribosomal RNA is filed under the name uncultured sediment bacterium. RNAcentral's name for it is "bacterial SSU rRNA". It matches the Rfam family "Bacterial small subunit ribosomal RNA", at positions 766 to 1498 of the family's 1533-position model. The record is from RNAcentral.